This 2596-nucleotide long non-coding RNA is filed under the name Nasonia vitripennis (jewel wasp). RNAcentral describes it as "uncharacterized LOC116416919". The record is from RNAcentral. Lineage: Eukaryota; Metazoa; Arthropoda; Insecta; Hymenoptera; Pteromalidae.
GAGCAAACCGUAUCACUUUAACCCAGAGAACGUAAAUUCCCGAGCUGACCCGAGACCAAACUCCACACACUCCCGUGUCUGAAUAAUUCCGCGCGGCGGCGUCGGCGGCGGCCUCCUUGCCGAAACUCCAGCGCCGCAAAGAAGAACCGCCGUGCGGAGAGCUUUGCUUCUUCCCUAUACUGCAGCGUCUUUUCCCACGAGAAUUCGAGGGUCGUUUUUCCGGCCGGCGCUCCUCCUCUUAUCGGCCGCCGAUAUCUCGGACAAUAUGUAUCCCGGACAAUCGAGGAUGUGUCCUCGGCGGCGGCUUCUUCUUCUUUCGUCCUCUUUCUCUUACCAAGUCUGAUCAGCAAAGUUGGCCAAAGUGCAGACACACACACACACACACGUGCGCGGAAGUUGCGGCGGUGGCUAUUGCCGCCUCGUGGCUAUCGGCGAAGUUUGCGCACUACGGAGAUGGGCUAACUUUGAUAAGAUACCGGUUUACUCUUGCCGCGAUUGAUUAUAUUUCUUCGCGUACGAGUGUGUGCGCCCCGGUCUCUCUCUCUCUCUCUCUCUCUCUCUCUCUCUCUACGAGAGAGCUUUUUACCUUACACACGUGUGAUUCAUUCGCUCAGCAGCUGAUUUACAAUAAUGGAUAGUCGCGGUGUCAGCUGCUGCGCGAAAGAAUUACAAAGUUGACUCGGCGCUGAAUUCCAUCAGCUGAGCUUAAAAUUUAACGAGCGCGGAGAGCUUCGGCUCGUGCCGUAAAAAAUGAAACAGCGAGCAUGCGCCUCUAACGAAAACAAAGUGGUCGCUAAUGCCUCGCGCCCCGCAUUAUUUACAAGCGUGUAGUAUAUAGUAAAUGAUAUAUUCACAAGUCUCCGCAAUCAUCAAUUUGGUAAGAAAGCAGCGGUCGCAGCCGCGUCGUCGCGCGUUAACUUUCGGGCGAGGCUUGAUUGAUAAUCAGGAGGUCGCAUAUGCUUGCACAGUGUACAGUAUACUGUAUGUACAUAGCGCAUACGUAUAUACACAUACACACACGCACACACACACACACACUUAUAGGUAUAUAAGAGGGGCUGGCCUGCAGCGAUGAGUUUGCGAUUAAACGCGAUUAUAAUUAAGGAUAAUGGAGUUUCGGCUUGGGAGUUCUCUCGGGCGUAUCUGCCGUCGCGCUAUGUCUUCUAUGGGGCGAAGCUUGCAGACAGCAAGCUCUCUCUAGCAAUCUAAGCUGCUGCUGCCGCUGCUGUCUCGGCGCAUCUGCGCAAGCUCUCGAGCGUACCGGUAUACGCUCUCGCUGAUGCUUGUGUGUACUAUGUAUGUAUGUGUAUAGCAGUAUAUACACGGGAGUUCCAAUAGGACGACACGGCAGCUGUAAAGCAAGUUCCACGGGGACAGCUUCGAUUCAGCUGUCCGCCGCUCGGUCUGUUGCUUUUUGCGCAGUCAAGCUUUGUCGCCGGUUAAUUAGGGAAUACUGUACACUGUGCGGCUGACUUAUAACGAAGAGCCAUACACGAGCUUGCGAACAAAAAUUUUCCGCGAAACGAUGUUACAUUUUAAUUGCGCACGCAGUAUCUAUCCUUCGAGUUGUCUCGAAGCUUGCUGCUAUGUACGGUAGUCCAUUUGUUUAUGCAAACAAUCUGAUUCAUCGUUAACAAACGAAAAAUAAAUAAUGAACUUCAUCAGCGCUGGCAAAGCACAAUGACGAUUCGUUCCCUAGCGAUGAGAAGAGAAAAAAAGAAAGAACCACCAAAAGGAAGCUGCUGCAGCAGUACUCGUAACCCAGUGUGCGCUUUCAACCUCAAUUCUUAUGCAUCGCACUGCGCACUCGCGCUUUUAUUAUUAUUUUCCAUGCGCAGCUCGUUCCAUUUUUCCUCCCUCGCAGUUAUUGACACGCAAAAAGUUGUAUUUUUAAUGAGUAUCCGCAGCUUCUUCUUUUAUCUCUACACACCAAGCGUGCUGGCUUUAAUAACGCGAGCUACAUACGUAUUCGCUUUAACGAGGGGCAGAGAGAGAGAGAGCGCGCGUCGUUUGAUUAUUGUCCAGCUGCCGGGGUGUAAUUGCACUCAUUGCACAGCGCCGCAGUUCUGAUCGUGUCUAGUGGCUGCGGUGGAGCGCAGCGGCCCGACUCUACACCUACAUACACUCGAUAAGUAAGCUCUUCUUCGUCUCUGUCUGUAUGUGUGUGUAUUCGUGAAAUCUCGUCGGCGCGACUUGGAAGAGAGAACGCGCCAAGUUUUCGAUGGAAUUUCCAAGUGUGCGAGUGUAUACGCUGCAGCGAGCGAGCUGAGUUAGUAAUAUAACCGGAGUCUUGGCCAGACAGUUGUCUUUCCAAUUAUCUUUAAACAACCAAUUAGUCGCGGUUCGCUGUCCUGACGGUUUAACUAAAUGUCUGGAUUUUUUUCUUUGAAAACGCAUCAACGUCUUGACAUUCGGAGUAUAAAAGGGAAGAGUCAACGGUAAGUGUAAAAUUACUUGACAAUAUAUAUAUAAUUAGCCUACGAACCGUAUUCGAACGAUUAUCUUAUAAAUAUCACUAUAUAGUUAUGCCUUACACUGUAUUACAGAAGACCAUCUCGGUAGGAAAACAUUUUUAUGCGAUUACGUUCGCCACCGU